AGACUGCCUGAGUCUUCUGACCUUCAUCUUUCCCCUGUGUUGGAUGCCUCCUGCCCUCAAACAUCAGACUCCAGGUUCUUCAGCUUUUGGACUCUUGGACCUACCCCCCGAGUGGUUUGCCAGGGGCUCUCAGGCCUUCGGCUACAGACUGAGGGCUGCAUUAUCAGCUUUCCUACUUUUGAGGUUUUGGGACUUUACUGGCUUUCUUGCUCCUCAACUUGCAGAUGGCCUGUUGUGGGACCUCACCUUGUGAUCAUGUACAUGAGGGAAAUACACACCCCUCCCAGGGAUGAUGGAAGGUUAAGGUCCUAACACCUCCUGCACAUCUGAGCAGCUGCACAUUGAACCAGAUAGUCCUGGAAUGUGGGAAAACAGAGGCAGACUCAAGAGUCUGGAACAUUAUUUUAGGAUCACACAAAAAAGAUACAUAAUUUUCAUAGGGUGAGUCUGUUACAGCAAUGGGAUGCCCAGGUUAAGUUUAUGGAAAGACAUUGACCUUGGAGCCAGACUGCACCAGAAAUGAUACUGAAAGCAUCUCAAAAAUAAAAUCACGAGUAUCUGCAGAUCACUAUGAGACUGGACUGGAACAUUACCUUCAGGUGUGUUGCUUCGCCUUUGGAGAAUGCCAUCUGCCAGAUAUGGGAUCAACCUCUUAAGUCUAACAUAGCAAAGAAUAUCCCCCAUACCAUUUUACUGAAGAAAAACAACAAACAGCAGUUCCUUCCGCCACACUGGGUCUUAGCACAUGCAGAGCUGUGGAGUCCUGUCUGUGCACAGAGACAGGCAUUGACAGGUGGAGUCAGCUUCUCCACCACUGACAUCUUUCCAAGUCAGUGCUGUGCUAUGUCUGCAAAUGAGAAAGGGGCAGCCUGGAUGAUGCUAUAAUUGGCAGUACCAACUCCAUGGAAAUAUUCAGAGGCUUCAGCUGUCAUUUUAAAACUGUCCUUCAGGUGGUGCCAUGUCAAAGGGAAGGGACCUGCACGACUGCCCAAGGUUCCAGAUACCUUAAGAGUUAAGCAGGGAUUGGAUGCUGGGGUUCCCGUGUUCAUUUGCCCCUUUAUUCAACUAGUGCUUACUAAGUGCUUAAUGCAUCCCAAAUUAUGGAAGGACCUGGGAACAUAUGUAAGACACUAUUCAUGCUUUCAAGUUGCUUGUAGUUUAGUCAAGGAGCCAGCUUAGCAUCUAAAACCAUGCAACCCCAAUUUCUAACCACCAGUCAACUCUCCAACACAUUGAUAUGACUACAUGCUGGACAUUUUCUUGCGGAAAUCCAAAAGAAAUCCCCAUUUUCUUGCAGAAAUCUAAAAUAAUCUCCCCUAUGUGCAAGUCAGACUGAGCACCACUCCCAAGACCAUGACCUCCCCUGCAGCCCUGCUCCUUCCCACUCACCUCUCCUCUUGAGAAAGCCACCUCCCACCACCCAGUCUGCAGUGCCAGAAAACUGGAAACCAGCCCCUAAGCUGCUUUCACCUUCGGCCCAUUUCUCACUAGCCAGCCUCUCCCACGGCCUCCCCAGUUUCUUCAAAUACACCCCCUCCACUAUUCACCAUACUGCCACCGUGAUUUAUUUACAACUUUUUGUCCGGAUUACCUCAGUAGCCUUCUAAUUGUCCCCUUUGCAUCUAAAGUAGCCCCUCUCAUCCCCCAAAUCUUACGUCACUCUUCUACAUAAUUCUGGCUUUCCAUGACCCAUAAACCACAUUUCUCAAGUGUGCUCUAUGCUGGCUUGAAUAUGUUAAUAAUCUUAAUUCUACUUUUAGUGCAAUUUUCUUAGAGCUGGCAUCACUUUCAUCAUGACGUGAGAACUUACUAGAGAUAGGCAAUGAUGACUCACAGUCAAGCCACAUGUCAUAUGCUGCAGACAUCUGGACUGCUGCUUAUUUGCAAAUCCUUUUCUUCAUAUUUUUCUCAUUUGUAGCACUGGAUCAAUUCCAAUUAAGAGUUUAAUAAUGAAUUAACUAAUGAUUUAAACAGGUGGAUAAGACUAACACUGAACCAAUGAUUUUAAGUAAAUCUAAAUACAUAAAUCCCCCCAAAUUAUUAAUCUAUGUUGUUUACUAAGAAGUGUAUUAAAAUGAUAUUGAAAAAGUUUGCUUUGGGAAAGAGCUAGAAGUUAGAAGGUCUAGGUUCAAAUCCCGCCUCUACUCCAUCCUUGACUAAGAUGUUGGACCCAUCACCUCAACUUUCCUUGGGUCUUUUUGCCCAGACAUGACCCGAUGACACAGAGCUUACCUGGACCUCCACAAUAGUAAAUAGAACAGGGCCAGCAAACCAAAAUUUGUUGAGUCCUUUAGAAUUAAGUAGCUUAGAUAAAUUUUCAUCAAAAUCUUUAUAUAGUAGGGAAUAGAAAAAAGUCAAUUCUGUUUUAUUUGAGGAUGUAUGAAUAUGUUACCAUUUUUCAGACUCUGAUUUACCUUCCAAUUAUUGUUUAUUGGGGUCAUUGUAAAUUAGUUAUCAUUUUUUGAAUACACAUUCACUGCUGACAAAGUGGUGAAGCCAGAAGUUAUGUUUGACCAGGGAAGAUUAUGACCCUCAAAGGAGAAAAAUUCACAGGGGGUAGUUGAUUAUUGGUGGAAUGGAGUGAGAGUGAAUUCCUUAAAAGUUUAAACGAAAGCAGAACUAUAUUCAUAUCAUGGAGGGAACUUAGUUUCUAAUAUGAUGAACUAUUGCCCCAAGUCAUGACAAUACCUUGCUCUCUGGAAGAGAAUGAGUGAGUUUUUCAUCCGCCAAGAUACACACUCUAUAUUUCCAACCAUCACAUCUGCCUUGCAGGCUGACUGAACCCAGAGCAAAUCAAUCACAAAAGUUAAUCCAAAAGACUUCCCUUCAGCUGCUGGAAAUCAGUCAUCACAUCUGUGAAAAGAGUGCUAGUUAUAACAAAUGAGAUCACAAAUUUGACCAUUUUAUUAGACACCCUCUAUUAGUGUUAACAGACAAAGAUGAAGGUUAAGUUGAAAUCAAAUUGAAAUCUUCUUCCCUCUGUACAGAUUGCAAUAUCUGAUAAUACCCUCAACUUUCUUGGUGCAAAUUAAUUGCCUGGUACUCACAGUCCAGUGUUAACAGGCAAUAAUGGUGUGAUUCCAGAGGAGAGUACUAGGUGGCAGGAAAAUAAAUGAGAUUAGCAGUAUUUGACUUGGAGCCAUAGGCAUCAAUUCUGCUCCAGCUGUCGACCAGGUUCUAAAAACAAGACUCGGAGCAGCUUUUGCUCUUGCUAGUGAUGCAGGGCCAGGAGAGCCCCCACACUCUGCAUUUGCAGGUGUCCAUGAGGGGAAGCCACUCCUGCAUUUAUCCUGUGAGUGGAGAAGCUCAGAGGAAUGAGGACAUUCCAACAGGGUAUCAGAAUUCUCUUUUGUUUAUGCUAAUUGACAGCAGGAACAUCACCAUCUUGGACAAACACCACCAUUUUAAGUUCUCUUUUAUUUAAAAACUGCCUAAAUCCAGCCCCAAAACAUCAGCCUAAUGGCUAUUGUCAGCAUAAUCAGAAACAUUCCAACCCUAAGAUAAACACCCCUCUGGCCAGAAAUAUGCCGACCCCGAGACAGCCUCCCCUCCGACCAGAGACAUUCCAAACCCGCAGUAAACUUUCCUUCACAUGGAAACAUUCCAAACCUACAAAAAGCUUCCCUCUUCCUAAACCCUUAAAUAUCCUUAGUCUGCAAGAGAGAAUGCUCCUGACUGAAAUCAGCCAGAAGCCCCUCUCAGGUUUAUUCUCCAAAAUAAACCUGUCUUUGACUGUUGAGCCACUUUUUGUGUUUCUUUCCUCUUUGUUUAACCCUUACACUAAUGUUAAAUUUACAUAACAUUGAGUACUUCAUGCUUUCCAGAGAAUAAGGAGAAUGCACAUGAACUAAUGCAAAGUUACACAGGUAAUGUGACUUCAUCAUUAGCAUAUGGUGUUAUACAAAUAAAUUAUCCAAACUUUUGAAAUUGAUAUAUUUAUCAAUGGUAAAGCUAAUAAUUAUCAUUAACUGGAACCUUCCAUGUGCAAAAUACUACAUGUCUUAUGUCAUAAUCCUCAAAACCUGCAAACUAUUAUUAUUUACGUUUUAUAGAUAAGGAAACUAAUGAUCAGUGAGAUUGAAUCAACUGUUUUAAGUCAUCUAUAUAGUCAAUGAGACUAUAUUGACACCAGGUCAGUUUGAUUCCAAAUUAUAUGCUUUAUACCAUAUUGUGAUAAUAUAUACUUAGAGUUUCUACUUCUCUUGAGUUACACCAUGACCACCAUAAACUCAACCUGUCACUCAAAACAACAGAAAUGACAAUCCAAAGAUUCUGUAUUUGUAGGUUGAGGAUCAACUCAAAUAGUUACCUAAGUCCCAGACCAUUGUAGAAAACAUGGAUCUCCUAAAAUAGGAUGACAAGGCCAAGACCACCUUCGCCAGAUGGAGGCAGCAGAGAUCAGAGGAUUUGUAUACAGAAUCGCGCAGUCCCAGCUAAGUGAGGGCAGCUUGUCAACAGUAUAGGUAUAGGAAUACAAGAACGUGAAGUUGAUACACAGCUUUAGUCCUCACCUAAAAUCAUAUUGGAGACAUGGAGCAAGGUCAGUGAAGGGACAUUCAGCCAGAAAUGAGGAGGAAGAGGUCAAGAUGAACAGCAGGAGUCAGGAGUCUGUGUGUGAGCCAGUGAACCAGGAAGUCUCAGCCAGGUCAGCUGACCCAAAGGGAAAUCAGCUGCAUGGUCACUGUGCAGCUGAGUUUGAGUUGCAUGUUAUUCAUCUGCAUGGUCACUGUGCAACUGAGUUUGAAUGGCAUGUUAUUCAUCUUUUUUUCCAUAAGUGAGAAGUGUUUUAAGCUGGUAACUUUCUAGAUACCCACUUUAAUGUUAAUAGAUUUUUUUUCCAUCCCAAAAGGGAUGAAUGCAAAGGCCCUAGCAAGAACACAGCUAUCAUUUUCCACUGGAGUUAUUAUCCAGGGAUGGGGGUGGUGAACUCAUCCUGGCUCAUAAUGUGUUAGAAGAUAAAUCACUCCUUCUAAGUAAAAGCAAACCUUUCAGUGGUAUUUCUAGGAGAACACAUGCUGCCUGGUGAGCAGAGGUUACUCAGGAAUAUGCUGGUAAAUUGAGAGAAACCAUCCUCAUCUCCCACUCUCCAACACCCUCUGUUUUAAGAGCAGGAAAUUCGCUUCAAGGAAACAAGAACUCAUAGGGGUAGAAAGGAGCCCAGAGAUCACCUAGCUCAACUGUGCACUUUAUGAAUGUGAAAAUAAGAUACUGAGAAGGUGUUAAAUGCCAUUAGUUCACUAUCUUGCCUGUAUUGCAACAUCGGCCUUCUGUUUCCCUGUUGAGUUCUUUACUACAUGCUUAAAGCAACAUCAGACACGUAGGGGAGGCUGCACAGAAAGCAGAAGGCCAGUGAAGAAGGUUUACACAAUUCUCCAGAAAACAUAAAAGAGAAAAGGAUUGAAACUGACUCUUACGUUUUCAGAGAGAUAAAAUAUAAACAAGAAAAAUUUGAAAUUUAACCCCAGAAGACAGAUAAGAUCCUAUUAGUUUAAUCAAAAAGUUGGUAACACAAACACAUGACUAAGAUAAAGGGGCAUAAAAUGUACCUUACCCCCACCCCCAACAAAAAAAUCUAAUCUCAUCUAAGAUGCAGAAGAAAACAACUAUAAAUCAAGAAGAUACACAACUUAGGAGAAAUCUACCAGCCUGAAGCCAUCAAUAGUGUGGGGAACAUUUGGUUAAGGAUAAAUGGAGAGGAAGCUUAGCUGAUACAGUUUUAGAAUUGAGGUUAUGGAUGAUGUUAUCCUGGUACACAGACCUAGUAUCACAAACCUGACAGAGAAAUAAGAUCUAGUAGCAGCAAGGAAUUCCAACUAUGGACAUUUGCUGGAAGUCUCAUUCUCAGAAUAUCUGAUAAAUCCCUGGCUUGUCUUAUUGACAAUUUAAUCUCCCAGAACAGUGAGGUAAAAUUCAAUUCUCGAAUCAAAUAAAGGAGUUAUCCAAAAUUUUUCUUUUAUGGUAGUGUUUCUUAAGGAAUCAUUGGCCAACAUUGCAAAACCCAGUCUCUACUAAAAAUACAAAAAUUAGCUGGGCAUGGUGGCACGUGCUUGUAAUCUCAGCUACUCAGGAGGCUGAGGCAGGAGAAUUGCUUGAACCCAGGAGGCAGAGGUUGCAGUGAGCCGAGAUUACACCCCAGCCUGGGUGACAAGAGCAAAACUCCGUCCCAAAAAAAAAAAAAAAAAAAAAAAAGAUCCAUGAACCACUACUGGGUGUUCACAAGGUUAACAUGUUUUUUUGAAAAAUACUAUCACAUUUUUUAUUUUCACUCCUUUAAUAUUUGCAUGAAAGGUGCGAAAGCAAUGGUGAGUAAAACAUCCGUCCUUAGCAUAAAUCAACUAGUGGCAUCUAAUUGUCUGGUGGUCAUUUGAUUCUUCGCUACCACACACUCAAAUAAAUCAAUAUAUAAAUAAGUAAGCAGAAGCCACUGUUGUUUGUUCAAGAAUGUCCUAAUGAAGCAGUGGAAGUAUUAAUUUUAUUAAAUCUUGACCCUUGAGUACAGAUCUUCUUAAUAGUUUGUAUGGCAACAUGGAAAGUACACCACAGCUAAGGUAUGUCAAACUACAAUGAUUGUCUCAAGAAGAAGCAUCUGUGCAAUCAUUUGAGUUGCAAGCUGAACUAGCCACUUUUUUUUUUCAUGGAACUACCUUUUUAUUUGAAAAAUUAGCUAACAAAGUAUAUGUAUUCAGGUUUGGUCAUUUAGCAGGCUUUUCUUGAAAUAAAAGGAGAGAGUGUGUAAUGUCAAGGAAAAGAAUUGAUAGUAUUUGUGGUCUAAUAAAACUUCAGUUUUCUGGUGAAAUUAGAAUUUCUGAAAACUUUUACUCACCAAGAUGACCCUGACGGUGGCAAAUAUUUGAACACUUUUCUAGUGAUGUCAAUGGUGGGUUUUUUGAUAUCAUACAAUUACAUGUGUAAACAUUUGAAAAACCAAAUGCAUGAUGUUGCAAAAUCAUGCAUGAGUAAAAAGUAGCAUUCAAAGUGCAAGACAGACUAAUGGAUUUUAAUGCAAAAGAGUAUGCAAAAUUUAUCAAUAGGUUUCCAAUUUCAUAUCACAAGCAACUUUAAGAAAACAUUACUACUCAAAAUUGUUGUUGUUAACGUCAAUAAAGAAUAUCCGCAGUUAACUGAAAAGGCUGUAAAAUAACCCUCUCAUUUUAACCCAUUUAUGCCUGAGGUUGCAAUUUUUUGAAUUUGAAAAAUCAGACCUUGGUGAUGGCCUUGAGCAGUAGGAUAUAAAUAACUCCCACAUGCUUAGCGUUCCAAUAAUGGAACAGUAGGCAUAAAUGGCACCAACAAUUUUGACUAUAAACUACCUAUUUGAGUUUAUAUUUUCUUCAUUUACUUCAGCCAAAGCAAUAGCACAGCAGACUAAAUGCAGAAUCAGAUACGAGAAGCCAGACACCAAAGAAAUUCAUAGAAAUUAAAACAAUACUAUUCUUUCCACUAAUUAUUUUUAAAAUGUCAUAUAAAAUUGGCGUGUCAUAUAACAACAUCAUAUAAAAUUCAAUAUAAAUUUCAAUGAGUUCAUUGCUAUUUUUAAAUUAAUUCUCUAAACAUUUUUAUGGUAAAUGUCAAUAAUAACUCACAUUAGUGAAAGCUCUUUGGGGUCCUCCAUCAUUUUUAAAGGCAUAAAGGGAUCCUGAGAUGAAAAUGUUUCAUAACCUCUGUUUCAUGAUAGCCCCAACCUCCACCAUUCCCAGCAAACCUAUUUCCCUUAACUUGCUUAAUUUUUUCCGUAGCACUCAGCCCCUCCUAGCAUAUUUUGCUUUGAUUCUCUGUUUGAUGUUUAUCUCCCACAACUGGAAUCUUUACUCCAUGGUGAAGGAACCUUGUCAUAGUUUUGUGCACUCUUCUAUUCUUGGUGCAGAAGAUAUCCUGGCAUAUAGUAGGCACUCAAUGAAUAUUUGUUGAGUGAAUGACUUAAGUGAAUGAUUAAUAAUAUCUGUCCUUCAAAGGCUUCCCGCCACCAGCCCUCCCAUUUUUAUGGUGCAAGUCUCUAGGAUUUUCCAUCAGUGUCUGUCUGAACUUGAGCAGACCCACAGUUGCUACCCGAGACAUGCUUGACCUUGCCUGUUUAUACCCCUCUGCAAGGAGAGCUCAGUGCAUACUGUAGAUGAUUUUUCACCUGGAAAAGUCUCUUUAAAACUCAGAGCACUAUGUCAGUCUUGUAUCCAAACAUCCUAAAGUAUUUCCAUUUCCUUUUAGUAAAAUUACAGAGCAGCACUUCAGGCACUGCCAGACGCCUUGGUCUCGAACUGCGACCACUAAUUGUCUACUCAGACUAUGUUGCUUUAACGAGGGAAAGUCGAAGCUUCUUCACCUAACGAUAACACUAAUCUCAAAAUCACAAGCUUAUAGCUUAAGACAAAUUCAGAAAAAUGUCUGGGAGUAUUAUUUAAAAAGUACAAGCUCACUAUGAGUGAAACAGAUUAUGAUACAAUCUUGUGCUGUGCCCAUUAAGGAUAGUGUUGACCAAAAAAAAAAAAAAUUAGUGCUUUUGCACAUAAUUUGUACUGGCAAAGCCACAUUUCCAAAGAAGGAGUCAUAAAU
Molecule: long non-coding RNA, 8547 nt
Filed under: Homo sapiens (human)
Lineage: Eukaryota; Metazoa; Chordata; Mammalia; Primates; Hominidae
Description: non-protein coding LINC00707:14
Source: RNAcentral